Triticum aestivum (bread wheat) is the source of this 134-nucleotide non-coding RNA. The record is from Rfam. NCBI's taxonomy places the organism in Eukaryota, Viridiplantae, Streptophyta, Magnoliopsida, Poales, Poaceae.
UGGAUACUCCCUCCGUCCGAAAAUACUUAUCAUCAAAAUGGAUAGAAAGGGAUGUAUCUAGAACUAAAAUACGUCUAGAUACAUCCUCUUUUAUUCAUUUUGAUGACAAGUACUUUUAAUGGAGAGAGUACUUU